GUGUCAUUUGGUAAAAUUCAAUAGAGAUAUUGCAAUUCAAGAAAACAGAAAUGCAGAUGUUGACUGGUCAUCAUACUCGUAAUGCAAUCUAACAUCCUGAUAAAUUACAAUGGGCACAACAGUUGGACCAUCCCAAAUGACAAUGAAACGGUCGGUGAGUGACAGCUUGUCCACUCCAAAAAGCAAAAAUCAAUAGACGACAUGACGUUUCAGAAGUUGUACUGUUUUUAGCAAUGAGCAGCGCAUGAGCCACGUGGCUCACUUUUCCCUCUCGACAUUGAUAAGCUGGCUGGUGAGGUUUGAGUUUCUUGUUCUUGAUUCUUGAAUUAUGUAUCAGAUUCUCCUCAUUACCUAAGACAGAAAGAUCGCAAAAAUUAGCUAUGGAAUCAACUCAAAAACUGGAGCUCAUUGAUCAGGCGAUCCAGCAGCUCUUAGCAGACAAGAUCAACAAAGAAUCCUUCGCUGAUACUCUCCAAGAAGAUAGUGAUACUCAUAAGCUUCUUCUCUCUAGAUUACUUUCUGAGUUGGAUUCAUUGAAAAGUGGAAGCAAAGUAGAGCAAUCUGAAGCAUCAGCUGAACAGGAGGAUCCUUCAGUUGUUGAAGACGAGUUGAAAAAUGAGAAAGCCAGCCAAGUGGAUAAUUGCAGCACUCAAAUUGGUGCUGAAGAGAUAGUGAAGGAGCUUAGAAAGGUAAGGAAGCAGAAUUUUCUGAACCAUUGCCUUCUUUCAGGCAUGAUUGUCCUCACUGUAGCUUGGCAAUUAUCUGAGGUUUCUCUCAUUUUGAAAAUUAAAGAUGGGCUGAAUCACCCAUUUAAAUCCUUGGGAAGUAUGAUUACAGGAAUGCUAAAAGCCCCUGGAUCAAAUGCACAAGAUGCAGAAAAACAACAGCACACAGAACCAUCUUCUUCCAUUCCUCUCCAAAUGCCAGAGCUUCCACACGUGGACUUGGGCUUAAAUGGUAAAGAAGACUGAGAAGGUUUUUAUUGUAUUCUAAAAUAAAACAAGGGAGGAAACUUGCCCUUUGCUGGAAUAAUCUGAAAUUGUUUAGACGCUAUAGAGAAUGUCAUUGUUGUACCAUAUUGUAGUCUAAAUUUUUUAAAAAUAAAAUGGAAUAGCUUUUUUCAGCUUAUUCUCUGCCAGUGUUCCUU
Molecule: unclassified non-coding RNA, 1147 nt
Filed under: Hevea brasiliensis (rubber tree)
Lineage: Eukaryota; Viridiplantae; Streptophyta; Magnoliopsida; Malpighiales; Euphorbiaceae
Source: RNAcentral